UACGUAGGGUGCAAGCGUUGUCCGGAAUUAUUGGGCGUAAAGAGCGUGUAGGCGGCCAGGUAGGUCUGCUGUGAAAACUCGAGGCUUAACCUCGAGAUGUCGGCGGAAACCAUCUGGCUAGAGUCCGGAAGAGGAGAGUGGAAUUCCUGGUGUAGCGGUGAAAUGCGCAGAUAUCAGGAAGAACACCCGUGGCGAAGGCGGCUCUCUGGGACGGUACUGACGCUGAGACGCGAAAGCGUGGGGAGCGAACAGG
RNAcentral lists this ribosomal RNA (253 nucleotides) under uncultured bacterium. RNAcentral's name for it is "partial 16S ribosomal RNA". It matches the Rfam family "Bacterial small subunit ribosomal RNA", at positions 524 to 776 of the family's 1533-position model. The record is from RNAcentral.